CUCAAAUUUAAAAUCUGGUAGUCUCUGGCUGCCCGAGUUGUAAUCUAGAGAAGCAUUAUCCGCGCCGGACCAUGUACAAGUUUUCCUGGAAUGGAGCGUCAUAGAGGGUGAGAAUCCCGUCUUUGACAUGGGCUACCGGGGCUUUGUGAUGUGCUCUCCAAGAGUCGAGUUGUUUGGGAAUGCAGCUCUAAAUGGGUGGUAAAUUCCAUCUAAAGCUAAAUAUUGGCGAGAGACCGAUAGCGAACAAGUACCGUGAGGGAAAGAUGAAAAGAACUUUGGAAAGAGAGUUAAACAGUACGUGAAAUUGUUGAAAGGGAAACGCUUGAAGUCAGUCGCGUCUGCCAGGAAUCAACCUUGCAUUUUUGCUGGGUGUACUUUCUGGUUGGACGGGUCAGCAUCAAUUUUGAUCAGUGGAAAAAGUUCAGAGGAAUGUGGCACCUUCGGGUGUGUUAUAGCCUUUGUUCGUAUACAUUGAUUGGGAUUGAGGAACUCAGCAUGCCGYAAGGCCGGGUCUUUUGACUACGUUCAUGCUUAGGAUGCUGGCAUAAUGGCUUUAAUCGACCCGUCUUGAAACACGGACCAAGGAGUCUAACAUGCCCGCGAGUGUUUGGGUGGAAAACCCAGACGCGUAAUGAAAGUGAAGGUUGAGAUCCCUGUCGUGGGGAGCAUCGACGCCCGGACCAGAACUUCUGUGACGGAUCCGCGGUAGAGCGUGUAUGUUGGGACCCGAAAGAUGGUGAACUAUGCCUGAAUAGGGUGAAGC
Molecule: ribosomal RNA, 763 nt
Filed under: Gerhardtia sp.
Lineage: Eukaryota; Fungi; Basidiomycota; Agaricomycetes; Agaricales; Lyophyllaceae
Description: partial 28S ribosomal RNA
Rfam family: Eukaryotic large subunit ribosomal RNA
Source: RNAcentral